Molecule: long non-coding RNA, 563 nt
Organism: Oncorhynchus tshawytscha (Chinook salmon)
Lineage: Eukaryota; Metazoa; Chordata; Actinopteri; Salmoniformes; Salmonidae
Source: Ensembl
AGCAUAUGCCCCUUUGCCCUUCCAGACUCCAAAGUGCUAUAUUACUGCUGUUUGUCUCUCUUGAGCCACCGUAACUGCAUCGCUUUAACACUUCAUCAAAAUAGUAUGAAUUAAUCGAAGAUAAAUCAUAUACAGUAUAUCAUUUUACGGGUUUUUUUCUGAGGAGGUCUUAGUUGCGCAAUUUUACAUCUAACCAAGAUGUUUGGUGCAGUAUUUCUCAAGUGACAAAAUGUGCAUGAAAACUAGUCGUCUCUCGUUGAAUGACAAACUUUGUUGAAGACUCCUUCCCCUAAUUCCCACUUCUACUAGGAGUAGUACUGCUAACCAAUCUCUUAUGAAGAGGCGGUAGACUCAAGAAAACUUGCCUCAAGAAAAACAGACGGGUGCAACUUUGCUUAACUGAGCUCAAGGCUAGAAAUCAACACAUCUGAAGAAAUAUAAAUGAAAAUGAAAGAUGCCAUCUCUUCUAGAAAGAGCCCAGAUGUUACAUCAUCCCGACAACCCUCAGGUUUGACUCAAAAGAGAGCUUCCUGUAUCAAGCCAUGCGUUCAGCAGUUGACAAG